Molecule: ribosomal RNA, 524 nt
Filed under: uncultured bacterium
Lineage: Bacteria
Description: partial 16S ribosomal RNA
Rfam family: Bacterial small subunit ribosomal RNA
Source: RNAcentral
GACGAACGCUGGCGGCGUGCCUAAUACAUGCAAGUCGAACGAAGCUGUUUUAACUGGUGCUUGCACCGACUUAAACAACUGAGUGGCGAACGGGUGAGUAACACGUGGGUAACCUGCCCAGAAGCGGGGGAUAACACCUGGAAACAGAUGCUAAUACCGCAUAACAAUUUGGACCGCAUGGUCCGAGCUUGAAAGAUGGCUUCGGCUAUCACUUUUGGAUGGUCCCGCGGCGUAUUAGCUAGAUGGUGGGGUAAUGGCUCACCAUGGCAAUGAUACGUAGCCGACCUGAGAGGGUAAUCGGCCACAUUGGGACUGGGACACGGCCCAAACUCCUACGGGAGGCAGCAGUAGGGAAUCUUCCACAAUGGACGAAAGUCUGAUGGAGCAACGCCGCGUGAGUGAAGAAGGGUUUCGGCUCGUAAAACUCUGUUGUUAAAGAAGAACAUAUCUGAGAGUAACUGUUCAGGUAUUGACGGUAUUUAACCAGAAAGCCACGGCUAACUACGUGCCAGCCGCCGCUGUAA